GUUUCUAUUGGGAUGAGACCAGUUAAUGAGGAUAAUAUCACAUUAGUGGUUUCAGCCUGACAUAAACUGAGCCGCCAGCUCAUCUGAUCUGACCCCUUUCCUGGAUGGAGGUUGUGGAUAAUCUAUAUUGGAGUGUAUAUUUAAUAACUGAAAUAUCAUUGAGGAAAAGGAAUUUGAAUCUUUUAGAUUAAAAUAUUAGCAGUUUGAUAUCAGACUGUCUGCUACUGAGUCCUGGGGUAGAAGUCAAACGUCUAGAAUGAAGAAGAAGAAGUAGAUGUUAGCAAAAUAUAUCACAAAUUAUAUAGGAGUUAAGUAAACAUCAGGAUUCUUGAUAAAUAUUUUUCAUUAUUGGUUAGCUGUUUGCUAAUAAUGAGUUAAAAGUAGCUAAAUGAUAGCCAAAAGUGACAUGUUUAAAAUGCUAAAAUAUGAACACAACGUCAACAAGAAAAUAUGUAUGAUAUAAAUAUGUUUGGUAGAAGAAUAAAAGCCACACCUAAAAAUAAAAAUUACACAAAAUGUUUUUUUUUUUUAAAGUAAGUUGGUAAAUGACAGAAUGCUAGUCUACAAAUAGAGUGCUGGCUAACAUUAGCUUAUAAAAUAUGCAUUAUAUGAUUUAAAAACUAGACCAGAGAUAUUAUUUCAAAGGUCCACAAAGUAGUAGAGAUGGUCUCUCUUGUAUGUUAUUUCUAUCCAAAAUAUUUUUUGUGGGUCAGAAUUCAACAUUUAAAAUUCCCCAAAGUGACUAUGUAGUUAGAGAUUAUCAUUUGUGUUAAAUUUAAAAGUGUAAUCUGUUAUAGAAAAACAAAACAAAAAAUGUUUGAAUUACGUUAAACAACAAAGUAGAUUGCUGGUAACAAGGAGUUCAAACUGUGUUCACAGCACACCCUGGAGGGAACAGAGAAGAAGCGGCACACACACGUGUGUUUUACCACAACUUCUCAUUGGACUGACCUUCCAUCGUCUGUAGCUCGUCAUCCUCUCACUAUCGCCUGCUUUUCGCUGAACAGAUUCCAAGUUUACAUCAAGACCUGAAAAACAAAACACAGCCUGCCGUGGAUGUGGGCUGAAGAUGAGAUGUUAAAAUCCUUCAAAACUGAUUCCAAUCUGAACUCAUCAACUGGAUGCCGACACAGCAGCCUUUAUUGUGCAUCCUCUGGGCCCACAGGUAAUAAAGAGGUGAGCUCCUUCAUUAUUACCACCACACAGUGUCCCUUGACGGUGCGAGUGGCUGUCACAUUUAUCAACACCUGACACAAAACCCAGCGCUGCUGUGAUGUCUCCUGGGAGUAACUGACACAAUGACAAACAACGAAGGCCUCAGAAAACAUCGUGAUGGUCACCGCGGCUGGAAAACAACAUUUCUGGGACUUUGCUGGAAGUGACGUGUUCAUGAUUACAUGCAUUAUUGAAAUUAGUUUAACACCGAAAUUAGCAGCCAUGCUAGGCACUCCAUACUGACCUCUGUAUGAGUGUGAAUGGUUGUUCUGAUGUGGCUGGCGACCUCUGCAGGGUGUUCUCUGUUUCUGCUCCACGGUGGCUGCAGGGUUUCACUCCAGCGUCUCCUGCUACACUGAAAGCGUUGAAGUGGAAGAAAAUGAAGAUAAAGUCAUUGACAGCAGGCGGUUUGAAAUCACAAUGGUUGGUGGCUGUUUCCCAUUUGUUCCCAAAAAACACAUUUUAAAGGUAAUCAGACCCUGACAGUGUUUCAUGUUUACUAAUGAUGAGGAAAAAAAGGAAACAACCCAGACAUCGAUGUCUUUGCAGGGAGAAUCUAAGGAACGUACAUUCAACGUCCGGUUCACGGUGAAUGGCUUUGACCCCCCUCUGUGAACUGUUAUGACUCGGGUCAGUGCUUUAAGAUUAGUUUAGCCUUAGCCUCCGUCAGCCAACAGCUGUAAACACAGUGAAUGUGGUCGUCGCUGACUUUGAACCAGGGAAACCACAAAAUACCACAGAUACUCAGUACUGUCUCAAGCACGUACUGUGUGUAUGCAGUGAUCGUUUUCUUCUGCUGUGACAAAGUUAAUGAUGGUUAGACCUAGUAGCAUAGGUGUGAAGAGGAUGCUGUGAGGCUGAAGACAACCUGGUAACAACUUUAAUUACUGUCAGAAACACGUGCAUUUAACCCACUGAGCCACCGGGGCCUACAAAUACGCAAUUAGCAACAGUGUAUUUACUCCUAGACAAACAGUAGGGGGUCCUCUCCGUGGGAGGGAACGAAUCCACAGGUGUCUCCGGUCGUCCUCUGCCGGGGAGACGCUUCCUUUAACCCUCAUUAAAACCCUGUGAGCUGCCAUUACUGUCCUUUCAAAGAGCCUGGGAGGAUUUAUAUUGUCUUUUAAAAUGUGAUGAAUAAUUAAGAGUGGACUCGCUGACUCUGUCUGCCUCUGGAUCAAACACACAACCAGUGAAAGUGCAUGGUUAGUGCAUGGUGCUGGAGUGUGCACUACUUCAAAAGAUCCUUUUCAAAGACACAUGUCAUCUUUUCAUUGUGGAAAAACGUCUUUUUUAUGUCUGCAUAUCUGUGAUUAAAGACAUCGCAGGCUUGUCCCUGGAUAA
Long non-coding RNA from Cynoglossus semilaevis (tongue sole), 2559 nucleotides. RefSeq lists it as uncharacterized. The transcript is spliced from 2 exons. The record is from RefSeq and is a predicted model, not a curated record. Lineage: Eukaryota; Metazoa; Chordata; Actinopteri; Pleuronectiformes; Cynoglossidae.